GAGGAAUAUUGGUCAAUGGGCGAGAGCCUGAACCAGCCAAGUAGCGUGCAGGAAGACGGCCCUAUGGGUUGUAAACUGCUUUUGUAUGGGGAUAAAGUCAAUCACGUGUGAUUGUUUGCAGGUACCAUACGAAUAAGGACCGGCUAAUUCCGUGCCAGCAGCCGCGGUAAUACGGAAGGUCCGGGCGUUAUCCGGAUUUAUUGGGUUUAAAGGGAGCGUAGGCUGGAGAUUAAGUGUGUUGUGAAAUGUAGACGCUCAACGUCUGACUUGCAGCGCAUACUGGUUUCCUUGAGUACGCACAACGUAGGCGGAAUUCGUCGUGUAGCGGCGAAAUGCUUAGAUAUGACGAAGAACUCCGAUUGCGAAGGCAGCUGACGGGAGCGCAACUGACGCUGAAGCUCGAAGGUGCGGGUAUCGAACAGGAUUAGAUACCCUGGUAGUCCGCACAGUAAACGAUGGAUGCCCGCUGUUGGUACCUGGUAUCAGCGGCUAAGCGAAAGCAUUAAGCAUCCCACCUGGGGAGUACGCCGGCAACGGUG
This 539-nucleotide ribosomal RNA is filed under the name uncultured bacterium. Its description in RNAcentral is "bacterial SSU rRNA". It matches the Rfam family "Bacterial small subunit ribosomal RNA", at positions 356 to 896 of the family's 1533-position model. The record is from RNAcentral.